Rosa rugosa (rugosa rose) is the source of this 5152-nucleotide long non-coding RNA. RefSeq lists it as uncharacterized. The transcript has 3 exons. The record is from RefSeq and is a predicted model, not a curated record. Lineage: Eukaryota; Viridiplantae; Streptophyta; Magnoliopsida; Rosales; Rosaceae.
UCGAUGGCGCCCUUCCGCUUUAGCAUGUCUAUGUUUGCUAGGGCCCCAGCCUUCGCUGACUCGGUCAUCGCCUUUGCAUACUCCGCCGACUGCUUGAAUGCUUCAACAGCGGUGGCCGCGGUAGUAUCCCCUUCAGCCCUCAGGCGGGCAACCUGGCCUUCCAGCCGCUUCAGCUCCGUCACCCUGGCGGCGGACUCCCGCUGCACGAUAAUGAGUUUCUUGUCCUUAGCGGCAAUCCACUCCUGCAGCAGUGUGACGUCCUGCUCCAACUUGGAGACGCGUUCAUUCCUCUCCAAGUCCCGCUCGAUGGCCACGUUGAGCUUACCGCGGGCGUCGGCAAAGUCACAUUCCGCCUUGGCCAGCCGCCUUUCUGUUUCCGCCAGGUUCUCCCUCGCCUCCGCCAGCUCCCUCUGGAGGCUUUGAAUCUCCUCCCUCAGCUCCCCUUCGACCAGAGGCUGCUUCUUUGCCGCCUCAAACAUGUCGUGCAGCUCAGCUGUAGGGCGAUUGGUCAAUCGCGGUCGGGCGUGAGAUCCCCGCUAGGCCGCCAAACCCUAGCCUUUCGCACAGAUGGAAGAGGAACUCCCGCUCACCAUCUGUCAUAAACUCCGCGUAGGCGGCGAAGGAGUCCAAGUCACUGGCGGCGGGCGCCUCCCCUUCCACCACAGCAGCUUUCAGCGGGGCUUGACGGGCCUUCUUCUGCUGCCGGCCCCCGAUAAUCUCCACAUCCUCCCCCUCUUCCUCGUCGGGGGAGUCUAUCUGCCGGCGCUUCCUCUCGAGCGCCCUUGUGUUCCUCGCCGGCGGCUCCUCCCUUGGCGCGGUGACAAUCCCUGCCGGCUGCACCGGUCUUUCUUUCUGGGUACCACGCCUGUUGGCGGGUACCCUUUCCUUUUGAGCAGCCACUGUUGCGGCCCCCUUUUUGCCGCCUGCCACGGGAGCCCCAGCUUGAACGACGGGCAGGCCGUCGGCACCCAGAUGGGAAUGGUGCGGCAUUGGCAGCACCACAGGAACCUCGGACUGGCUUACCGCCAGGGUCUCGGGGUUCACCAAGGUCUUCUGGGCCGCCAGACCCUCGGCGUACAUCGUCCAGGAAGUUGUCAACCUCCGCACGAUCCAUCACUUUUUCGAAAGCGUCGCGGCUGGCUUUAUUGCCUGGCGGAGUUUCUAUAAAAAAAAAAUAAUAAACCAGUCAGUCUCGGCUACUUAUUACAAAAAAAAAAAACAGAGAGCAGUCUAGCGAAAAUUUCCUACCAACGGAGCGAGUAAGUUUCUGCUCGACUAACAACUCCCAACGAGUCAGAAGUCGGAAGUCUAGCAAGUUGCGGUUCCGCCAACAACCUCUGAUCCGCGCCACGCGACACUCCUCCUCCCGCGUUAGGUUGUACCGCAGUCCCGCUGCACAAACACAAGUGGAUUAGUAAAAGUACCAAGUCUGCAAAAUACAAGAACCCGCCAGCUACGUCCAGCGGAAACUGGUUACCAACCUCGGAUAGGUUGGAACUCCGACUUAAUCCUAAACGUCGGCCCUUCCUCGUUCGCCCCAGCCUGAUACUCCCACCCCUCUGUGGCGACGCAGAAGGUCCCCCGCCAGUAGGACAUUGAAUCCCUUAGAUUCUCGAUCAGCUUGGGCGCUCCCUGGCAGCGGCUCAAGUUCACUUGCCCUCUGCAACCCUAGCGCUUCACGUACACCAGCUCGUAGAAGUGAAGUACUUCCGCCACGGUAGGCCCCUCGCACCCGGACAACCGCCACAGUGAGUUCAUUGCCAGCAUCAACCGCCACAUGUUGCGGCAAAUCUGACCGAAGGCAAGGCCAAAUUCGCACACCAGGAUUUGGAGAUUUGGCACCAGCCGGAGUGUCACUCCUUGGCGGAAUAUAGCCUCAUGCACGGCCGCAGAUCCCUCUAGGAGAAUCGACGCCCUCUCAUCCACCGUCGGCGGGCGCAGCUUCACCGAGCCCUGCAACCGGAACGUCUUCUUCAUUCGAGUCACGGCGGCGGCGUUCAUCCGCCCUCCUGCCUCGUCAACGGCGGUGCCAUCCUGGAGGAACCAUGCUGACUCAGCAUUCUCCCCCGCUGUUUCUUCUUCCCCAGCGGAGCCGCUUGCAGCGCUAUUACUCGCCAAACGCUCGUCGCGCCUAGCUUUGGCAGCAGCGGCCUCACCCGCCCUAGAGCUCUCUGGACGUGGACCACGACCCAUAGUUACUUCCCAAGGUAUGGUCUGUAGCGGCUCAACCUCUAGCGGUUCUGGCAGUGAGGUUCCUGCAUGGGCAGACGGACGCAACGAGUCAAUAAAUAUCCUAUCCGCCGAGCUGAACGACACGUCAGACCCGGAAUCCUCACUGCUCGAAAUCUCUAUGACGUUAGCCAUCCCAAACCCUAAAACCCACACCAGUUAGCACAAACACAGAUCUAGCCUAUUCUUACAUCAGUUAUAGCCAAGAGCAUCAAGAACAAUUUACCCAGAAAAUGCCAAAAUAAGAACAAACACACUCAACCCAGAUUCGACCAUCUAACAAAUCCCUAAACGCCAACUCUCUGCCAACCACCAUAACCCAAACCCCCCCAAAUCUCACUUUACACCUCAGAACACGCCAAAGAAAAACAGAAAUCAUCCCAAAAAACCAAAAACAACAAAACCCAGAAAAUAGCAGAUCCAAUGAAACAGGGAAAAGGGAAUCCAGAUACCAACCUCGGUGGUGAAGCCUACGAUAUGAUGGUGCACAGUAAUCUUAGGGGGGUGAGAUCGUCGUUUCUCAGGGAACGGUAUCUCCAAGUUUUGGCAACUUCUUUCUUCAGUCUCGGACGAACAGAGCGAGAGGACGACGACUGUGAGUUUGAAGCUUUUACCAAAGUGUCAAAUCUCGCUGGGUUUUCCCCCCUUUUAUGUCAACAUCAGCGCGUUCUCAGCCGUCCGCUAAAAACACGACAUCACACGACAGCCGUACACGUGUCACAGACCUCCACUUACUCUCCGGAUUAACCGAAGCGUCGCCUCGGUUACGAAAUCCAUAAUUACUAUCAUUUAUGGCGAGAAGACGGCCAGGCUUAGGAGACAAGCCUCCGCACGCUAACCCUCUGCGGGUUGGACACGUGUCAACCACCACCAGACGAAGCGUCUGGUGGAAGUAACUACUUGGGAUCACUUCCCCAACCCUCCAAAGUCUCUGCUGAGCGAAACCCCGCCAGCAGAACUUCUCCCUUGUCACCUUCCAAGUGACGAAGUCUCCGCUGAGCGAAACCCCGCCAGCGGAACUUCUCCCUUGUCACCUUCCAUGUGACGAAGUCUCCGCUGAGCGAAACCCCGCCAGCGGAACUUCUCCCUUGUCACCUUCCAAGUGACGAAGUCUUCGCUGAGCGAAACCCCGCCAGCGGAACUUCUCCCUUGUCAUCUUCCAAGUGACGAAGUCUCCGCUGAGGGAAACCCCGCCAGCGGAACUUCUUCCUUGCCAUCCGGCAAGCGGAGCGUCUUCCGCUACACACCUCUAGCGGAUCCCCCUUUUCAUCUUGCAAGCUGCGUGCUUUGUUCAGCGCAAUAUCGCUCAAUGAAGUACCACCUGGCACGUCUACUGGACACUGCUUCCUGCUGCAAUCAGCGGGGGGAUAUCCGCCAGCGGCGGAUCCCGAGGCCACGCCUCACUCUGACAACGCCCGCCACGCGGCGUUACGGUCAGACCGUCCCUACGGGACACGGGGACUUGUCAACAGUCUACGACGGCCCUGAUCAGGCACGUUGACCCCAGUCACUCGGGUACUAAGAUUGAGUUCGCUACUCAACACCCUCUGCUCCGUGCAGCUCCCCCUCAACAAAUAAUUUGCCGACCAUCCGGAGGUCUAUCUUAGCCGGGGAGUGGGGGACUCCCUGGGGGGCCUAGCAGGGGCCCACCCGAAAGGGUAUAAAGCGUUUGCUCAUUAAAUCCAUGGUUGACAACGCACUAACGCUAAUUAUGCUCUUGCAAGUCUAGCGGAAGAAAACGCUUCAAACCGCCGAGCAACUCCCCAACCAAGAUUGCCCUCCUUGACUGGGGACUUGGGGGACUUGUACAUACAUGUACAUUUGCAAGCAUAAUUAGCUAUAAUGGGCCACGCUCAUUGUACCACCAAAGGUACUAAUUCCAACCAAAGGAAUGACAUGCAGACACACCGCCAGGCGGGCUACAGCCUCAGCGUCGGAUCACCUCCAGAUCGCCGCCGACGCGCCGCCACGCGUCGCGCCAAGAUUGCAUCAGAAGCUUCUGAAACUGGGAACUGAAGCAUAUCAGUCCCACAUCGAAAACAAGGAAGAGGUCAGCCUCCUCCUCACCUAUAAAAGGUUCUCUCCUCUCUCCUCAUUAAUUACGCAUUCAAUACUUACCUACUGUUACUUUGUCAACAUAAAUACACUGACUAACUUAGGCAUCGGAGAGUUGAAGACCGCCCAACGCGGUCUCCCUCUGACGCCCUUUGUAUUUUACUUGACAGGUAGCGGAGGCUUUGAGAGCACCACAAGUAUCGAUCCGCUCACCGGAUCAGCGUUAACAAAGGUUCAGCUACCGCCGGACUUUUAGGCAUUAACACAGACACCAAGAAACUUGUGUUCUACCCUAAUGGAAACAAGAAGAAGAAAGUACAAAACCACAACUCACUCUACUUAGUAAUGGCUGAAGCAGAUUCAUUACAUAGUGGUUGGGUAUAUGUUGAUUUCAGAUUGUUUCUGCUCGAUCAGAAUAAGGGAGUCUGCUUAGUCUUUAAAGGUACUUACAGCUUCACCGACGUGUCUUCAAGUUGGGGUUGGCGUACAUUUAUUAUAGAAAACAUUUUCAGGCAACCAGACAAGGGGUUUUUGAUGAAUGAUACUUGCGUAGUGGAAGCAGAAGUGAGUGUCCAUGGAAGCAGAGGAUACAAGUGGUUUUCUCCCUCUAAGAGCGUGGCCGCUCCCUUCCAGUCAUGCUUGUGCACCUUGGAUUUCGACCCUAGCUCUAGAAAAAGGACGGUGUGUCUAUAUGUACUCACUGGUUCAGUUUUCUCCACUUUUAGUACGAAAUUUGAAACUGAUUAACCGGAUCGAUAAUUUUUUUUUUAUCUGAAGAAAACUUCAUUAAUAAUGAAUUCGAGUAACAAUCUACACUUAUUCCCCAACAUGGUAGAAAAGUUAGAUAGUUACCCACAGUGGCGGAGCC